This 2979-nucleotide long non-coding RNA is filed under the name Hordeum vulgare. RNAcentral's name for it is "long non-coding RNA (HVUL_LNC004614)". Lineage: Eukaryota; Viridiplantae; Streptophyta; Magnoliopsida; Poales; Poaceae. The record is from RNAcentral.
GGCCUGCAAGCCAUGCCCAACCAUCGCCGUAGCUUGGAUGCCAAAGAGCACGUCGACUGCUAGUGCGAUGCUCAUGAAGUCGUCCCAUUGAACGGAGGUCGUAGCUCGAUGAUAAGCUCAGUUAGGUGAAAAAUGAGACCCCCAGAACAUAUCAAACCUUCUCCCAAUGCCGUAAUCACCUGCCAAGCCCCUGCCUCGCCGUGAUCCACGUCGGAGCAUAUCCAUUUGCGGCAACCGCACUAGCCCGCCUAUGAAAAGGGCCCUUAGAUGCCCUUCGAGCCUGCACCACUCCACCAAAGAUCCUAGCUCCACCCAAAGCACCGUAGAAGGCCUAGGGGAGGUCUUCUUCCCUAGAUACGGUCGCCCGAUCCGCCUCGGGUCCGGGCUAAAUUCGCCCAAAGUGUUCAAUACCUUCUGCUCUAACCUCGCCCAUGGUCGCGUGGUAGGUCAUCCUCUCUGAUAUGUGUGUCAAUUUGAUGUGUGCGGGUAUUUGCGGUGAGCUCCAUCCCCGUCCGAAGUCGGUGAUCACUAGAGAGGAAGCUCCCGAAGAUAAGGUGUGCGCCGGUGAUCAAGUCCUCCACCCAUCGAUGCACAAUAGUCCCCUGAGCAAGCCUAAGCCAUUCCCAUCCUCGGAGUCGCCGCCAAUCGACGCGGGUGACCACCGCGAGCUCUUUGCUGCAGGUGAGAAGUUCAAAUCUCACAUCAGGGACCCAUCGUGAGGUUCUUUUCUUUUUCGAACCAUUUUUUGAAAGUGCCUUUCGCCUGAGUGCGUUUUCUUCCACAGCUAGCACAGUUUCCUCAAAGCGUUUCCUGUUUCCUCAAACUAGCCCCUAGAUAACUUUUUGUUUAUAAUAGAUAAGUCCGUGGGCGCAUUUCUUUUAUAGCUUUUACACAUAAAAUGAUUUUUGGUUGAUUCUUUUUAUGAAAACUUUAGUUUUCUGCCAUUUUUUUGUGAUAUUUAUUUAAAAAUAUUUUGGCACAACUUUUAUACGCGCACGGUAUUUACGUAGAUGUUGAUAUUUUGUGGCGUAGAUACCGAAGGAGAAGACACUGUCAUCCAUUGCACCGAGUCCACUUCCGACUUUGUUGAUCCAGGCAAGCAUGUUUGAACCUUUGAUAUGGUGUUUGUCUUCAUGUUUGCUCGAUAAAAAAAUUCUACAUGUAGACAUGGUAGCAUGCAUGUAUUGUCUCAAACUUGUGAAGUGACAGAAAUGUAUUGACGACCUAGUCACGCGGGAUGUGAUAGGUUGUGACCUGGUCAUGUUGGAGCAUGCUAGUACCUUAACAAACUUAACAACUCCAGUAUCAACAUAGAUAGACUCUUGUCAGUGUGUCACAAUAUUUUUCCGUGCUGCCACAUGCUUUCCUAGAAGGGAAUACGGUUUAGUAGGUUGCAAACCGAGCUCCAUGUACACAUCAAGUAGUGGGGCUGGAUGAAGGUUCCAUGGCUCUAGAAUAAUGCCAGUCAUCCGGUCAGGGGCAUGGUUUUUUCCGGCUGAGGCCGAGAGGGGGGAACCCCUUAGUUGCACGCGGUAUAAAUUUGAUCCCAUGCUAUUCGAGGUGUCAGCCUCCCCGCCUUAUUGUUUUUCUUGAGCGUUGUUUUGGGUGAUUCCGGGCCUUGCAGGGUGAAAUGGGCAUGUACUGGUUAUGUGUGUUUACUUCUAAAAUACCAUAGGCGGGAUUAGUCUCGCUGACUAUUGAAACCAGUUGACUGUGGUAAAGAGUACACCCUCUACAAUGUCAAAACUAUUCGAGUAGUCGGGUCCACGAUCAAAGACGGCUUGUUGAUAGGUCAAGUGUUUGUCUAUGUGUCGGUGUUCGGAGAGCAAAUAAUCUUUUAUGAGAAUACUAUCCUAUGAAAUUAUGAAUGUGAUGCUUUUGGCUAACCUGUUACAAUGACUGAUGCAUUGAGUACUCCAUGGGUUGGUCCUUGUUGGUGUCAAAACUGGCUCAUCUCGAGUAGGGGGUCUGCAUUGUGGAUCUAGGGUCGAUGGGUAACAAGAGACAAAGAAGACGGUGUUUUACCCAGGUUCGGGCCCUCUUAAUGAAGGGAAAACCCUACGUCCUGCUCUUGUUGGUAUUGAUGGAGUAGUAUAGAGCACAAACUUUAUCUACUUCAAGAUCAGAUGUUGUGGUCUAAACCCUAAUCGUAAUGAGCUUAAUGUGUCCUACGAACUAUGUCCCCUGGCUUAUUGAUAUGUCUUCAACGUAUUGAUAAUUUAUGAAGUAUUCAUGCCAUGUUUACCUAUGUUUACAAUACUUUUAUAUGGUUUUGUUGCACUUUAUACGAUUUAUUUCAAACUAACCCGGACUAACACUGUUUUCAGGAGUACUAACAUGGUGUUGUUUUUUAUGCAGAAAUAAAAGUUCUCGAAAUUGGACGAAACUUUUUGAUUUNAAAUUGGACGAAACUCUUUGAUUUUUUUGAAGAAAAGAGAAAUAUUGGAGCAAAGAACCACUAGAGGGGCCCCCUAGUGCCCACUAGACACCAGGUCGUGCGAGCCCCCCUAGUGUGGGCUAAUGUCUAGUGGGCACCUCGUGGCCUAUCUUGGCGUGAUUCCAAUGCCCAAAAGUCCUAUAAAUAUAUAAAUCUCUAGAAAUAACCCUAGAUGAGAAGUUUCGCUGUCGUAAACCUCUGUAGCCAUGAAAAACCAAUUGGGAGCCCGUUCCGGCACCCUUCCGGAGGGGGGAUCAUCUUCGGUGGACAUCUUCAUCAUCCCAGCGGAGGCCAUGAUGAGGAGGGAGUAGUCCACCCUCGGGGCUGAGGGUUCGUACCCGUAGCUAUGUGUUUAAUAUCCCUCUCUCUCGUGUUCUUGAGAUGUCAUGAUCUUGAUAUAUCAUGGGCCUUGUUAACAUAGUUGGAUCAUAUGGUGUUUUCCCAUACUAUUGUUGUGAUGAAUUGAGUCUUUCACUUUAAGAUCUCGUUAUAUGGAUUGAGUAUUAAUGUUUGAGAGCACAUGAUAAAUGUCUUGCAUGCGG